GGGUGGCAGUGAACCCCAUCCGGCAACUAUUGCUCCAGCCGGAAGCGCUUGGGGCGGCUACUGGCGGCAACGCUGGUGGUCGAAGCCCCUGGGAAAAGGCUCGGAAAGCGGGUCAGCGAGCAAGCAGGCCGUAAUGCGA
RNAcentral lists this non-coding RNA (139 nucleotides) under Candidatus Methylacidiphilum fumarolicum. The record is from RNAcentral. Lineage: Bacteria; Pseudomonadati; Verrucomicrobiota; Methylacidiphilae; Methylacidiphilales; Methylacidiphilaceae.